Molecule: ribosomal RNA, 381 nt
Filed under: uncultured eukaryote
Lineage: Eukaryota
Description: SSU rRNA
Rfam family: Eukaryotic small subunit ribosomal RNA
Source: RNAcentral
AGCUCCAAUAGCGUAUAUUAAAGUUGUUGCAGUUAAAAAGCUCGUAGUUGGAUUUCUGGCUUGGCAUGUGGGUUCGCUCUUUGAGUUGGCACCAUACAUGUCUGCCCAUCCUUUGGGAGAGCCACAGUGAUAUUAAGCUGUUGGUGUGGGUAUCUCAAUCCUUUACUGUGAAGAAAUUGGAGUGUUCAAAGCAGGCUUACGCCGUUGAAUAUAUUAGCAUAGAAUAAUAACAUAGGACUUUUGUACUAUUUUGUUGGUUUGCGAGCAAAAGUAAUGAUUAACAGGGACAGUUGGGGAUAUUUGUAUUCCAUUGUCAGAGGUGAAAUUCUUGGAUUUUUAGAAGACAAACUACUGCGAAAGCAUUUACCAAAGAUGUUUUCA